CACGUAGGCACCAAGCGUUGUCCGGAUUUAUUGGGCGUAAGGAGCUCGUAGGCGGUUCAGUAAGUCGGGUGUGAAAACUUUGGGCUUAACCCAAAGCGUGCAUCUGAUACUGCUGUGACUUGAGUUCGGUAGGGGAGUGGGGAAUUCCUAGUGUAGCGGUGAAAUGCGCAGAUAUUAGGAGGAACACCGGUGGCGAAGGCGCCACUCUGGGCCGAAACUGACGCUGAGGAGCGAAAGCAUGGGUAGCAAACAGG
Molecule: ribosomal RNA, 254 nt
Filed under: uncultured bacterium
Lineage: Bacteria
Description: partial 16S ribosomal RNA
Rfam family: Bacterial small subunit ribosomal RNA
Source: RNAcentral